ACUCCCCUUCCUUUCCUUUUUCCCUCCCAAUCCUCGGAGCAUGUGGUUUAAUUCGAAGCAACGCGAAGAACCUUACCAGGGCUUGACAUCCCGAUGACCGGUACAGAGAUGUACCUUCCCUUCGGGGCAUUGGAGACAGGUGGUGCAUGGUUGUCGUCAGCUCGUGUCGUGAGAUGUUGGGUUAAGUCCCGCAACGAGCGCAACCCCUAUCCUUAGUUGCCAUCAGUUAAAGCUGGGCACUCUAAAGAGACUGCCGGGGAUAACUCGGAGGAAGGUGGGGAUGACGUCAAAUCAUCAUGCCCCUUAUGUCCUGGGCUACACACGUGCUACAAUGGCCUGUAACAGAGGGAAGCGAAGCCGUAAGGCGGAGCAAAACUCAGAAACCAGGUCCCAGUUCGGAUUGUGGGCUGCAACUCGCCCACAUGAAGUCGGAGUUGCUAGUAAUCGCGAAUCAGCAUGUCGCGGUGAAUACGUUCCCGGGCCUUGCACACACCGCCCGU
This 500-nucleotide ribosomal RNA is filed under the name uncultured bacterium. RNAcentral's name for it is "bacterial SSU rRNA". It matches the Rfam family "Bacterial small subunit ribosomal RNA", at positions 920 to 1378 of the family's 1533-position model. The record is from RNAcentral.